This 69-nucleotide transfer RNA is filed under the name Macaca mulatta (Rhesus monkey). RNAcentral describes it as "tRNA (ENSMMUG00000065357.1)". It matches the Rfam family "tRNA". From Rfam's summary of the family: Transfer RNA (tRNA) molecules are approximately 80 nucleotides in length. Their secondary structure includes four short double-helical elements and three loops (D, anti-codon, and T loops). The record is from Rfam by way of RNAcentral. Lineage: Eukaryota; Metazoa; Chordata; Mammalia; Primates; Cercopithecidae.
GUAGAUAUAGUUUAACUAAAACAUUAGAUUGUGAAUCUAACCACAGAGACUUACCACCUCUUAUUUACC